CCUCAUCUCAACCCUUAUCAAUCAAGAUUAAAACUCAGUGCAUGUGUGUGCUUCGUCCAGCGUCUGCAGGCUGCAUCCGUGCCUUCAGGCUCUGUUAAGGAGAGUCGUCCUAAAGGACCUUCACUUUCAAAGGAGGCGAUGAAGAGAGCUGAGAGAAGAAGCCCCUCAGAACCCACGUCCACAUGCAGUCAGUCUGCCUACCACACCAGUUGUCCCUUCCUUUCUAGGGGUACAACUGGGCCUGGGAAGGGACAGUGACUUCUGGUCUGGGCCUGUCCACAGGUCUCUGCUCCCUGGGGUUCUAGAGCUCACAGCUUGGGGACUGAGAAGCUUCCUGGUUCUGCAACACUAUCAGGGGGCUUCCAGAGCCCCAUCUCUCCUUGUUCUCAUCCUGUCACCUACCCACAGCCCACCCUCACGUACUCAGCCCUGUGGGCUCAGCUUCCCCUGUGAUCAGGCCUGCCUCCCAGGGCAACCCCCCAUGAGAGGAGAGGCCCUGGACAUGGGGAGUCAGGGUGACAUGUACAGUGUAGGGAGGUGGGUGUGCUGCCCUGGGGAGCCGGGCCUCACCUUCCUCGCUGUAGAUGGGUGCCGUGAGCAGGUAGUUCUGAAUCUUCUUGUCCUUCUCGAAGGGACACUCUACCUGAGUCCAUGUCAUGAACUCAUGGAUCUGUCUGGAGAUUUCCCAAAAUUUCUGAAGGCACAGAAGACCAACUGGAUGUUCAUUUGUCACCUUAAGCUUGAAAUCCUUGGUUCGGGCAGGGGAUGUAGGUUCCGGUUUCAUUCUGUGCCCCAGCAAGAUGGGACGGUGACCCUGCUCAGCUGACUUUGUGGCCACGGCAGCACUUCAUGCAGCAUCAGAGCCAGUAAGUGUCCCCAAGACCACUCGGUCCUGCACUUUGCCUAGGCCCGAGGCUGCAGCAGGGUCUGUGCCUCCCCCGUGCAAGACCCCAAGAGGGCCCCAUCGGGGACUCCAGGCUGAGGCAGGUAUGCCAGCCAUACCCAGCACAGCACCACCAACCUGAACGUGUCAUGAUCUCAUUCUCUGGGGAGCUGUAGGGGAAACGGGGCUGUCCAGUACUUACCUCACACAGGUAAGGGGUAGGAAAGAGUUAUGGAUUCUUACACAGGCCCCCAUAACCUUUGUCCUACCUUCCCACCGUUGGCCAGCUACCCUUGGUUUCCAUCUGUAAUUCUGCUGCCUCCUCCCUGCUCAAGUACCUUCUUGCCUAAAGCCUUCCUCACUCCCAAACCCCCAGAAGUAGCGCCUUCUGUGUCUCCCUGGUGGGGUCAGUGUUGGGGCCACCCUUAUACUUCACAAACAGCACAUAUAACCCACCCUGGAGCUUUCAGUCCUAAAGGCCUUUCUGCAAAGGGCCACUGCUUUUCAGCUCUAGUAGCACAGAUUCUUCCUGCCCUAGGAUAAGGCUGAGAGGUCUGUUCUGCCCUGUGUUGGGACAGUCUGGCCCCCCUCCCCUCAGGCCACAAGGGUGCUGAGCUCACCUUAAAGUUAACAUGCCCGUUGGGCAAGUGAUUGGUAUGGAUUUUGUGCAGGAAGUAAAUGUCCUUAACGAAAAGGUUGAAUACAGGGAUAACAAUCUUCUCUCUGCUGCUGUUGGCCAUCUGGGACCUUUGAGUGGCCCCCUGCAGGGCAGUGCGGUAGUUGCAGAAGUUGCUGGAUGGGUCCAUGUGGUGCUGUGGGCAGACAGGAGGACCUGGUUGGCUGUGUUCUCCCUGUACGCCUGACUUGUUCAGAAUGCCCCUUCGCAGAGCAGGAAACAGCGAUGGGGAAGGCAUUUCCCUGCUGGGCAGCCCUGGACUGUCACCAGAAGAGGCCUCCUUUCUGGGAGUGAGCACCUGGCUGAGUACCGGGUUUGGAUCCAAACAUGAGGAAAGUUACAGAGAAGUCUCACAGCUCACACACACCUCUUCCCUGCCCUGCUGAGCCUGGGUCUCACUUCUUUCCUUUCAAAACCUUCCUUUGCCCUUCUACUUGGACCAACACCUCCCAAAACUGACGAGCUCUGUAGGACACAUUUGCAAAAAGUGGAUUCUGUGAUCAAAUACUUCAGGGAAGGCUGCAGGUGAACCUACCCACUCUUGGGCCACCCGGAUGAUCCAGGACCGCAGGAACUCAAGCCAGGAAAAGGCCAGCCUCUGCUUCGUCAGCAUCACCCAACACCCCAGCAACACCCUGGGACCCACUUUUUUCAAACUCUUUCCUAACCACUCUCUAGAACUUGCCUUAGGCAAUGCCAGUUCUGCCUAAAGUUCCAAGGGCCGAGGAGAGCUUCAGCUACCCACCUCCUAGAGCAGCCAGGCCAGCUCAACAUGCCCUACACCAGAUGGCACUGUGGGCAGUGGAUUCUGAGCAAGGGGGCAGAGUGGAUGAGGCCCACCCCUCCUCAGGCCAAUGUAGGACAUGGCUGAGGUGCUUACCUCCAAGACGUCAAACUUGGCCGUCUUGACUUUGGACCACGUUUUCUUCAGCCUCGCCACAGGACUGAGGUUCAUGCCAGCUGCAGGGAACAGCAGGUGGAGUCAGGGUGGGGUUAGGUAGGCCAUGCAGAAGCUGGAUAGGAAGCCCCUGGGGCCUGGCCACUCACAGAUGAUGGCCAUCAUGGAGUUGAAAUUCCCGAUGUUGAAGCACUCCCGGGCCACAUCAAUAAAGAACUCUAGCAUGCGG
Long non-coding RNA from Leopardus geoffroyi (Geoffroy's cat), 2686 nucleotides. RefSeq lists it as uncharacterized. The transcript is spliced from 2 exons. NCBI's taxonomy places the organism in Eukaryota, Metazoa, Chordata, Mammalia, Carnivora, Felidae. The record is from RefSeq and is a predicted model, not a curated record.